AGAAUGGCUCUUAGCACGUUGUAAAUCGGCUUAUUUGAUGACAUUUAUGAAGUAAAUCUGUGUCAUCGGAUUUUGAAAGAAAAAGGUGAUUGAAUUUCUAGCACUGAUUAUUUAUGCAUUGAAAUCAUGUAUCUGAAUGUUUUUCAACGUUAAAAUAUUCAACCGCAAAAAAUUCAACCACAAAAAAUUCAAAUGAUGUUGCGGUUUGAAUUUUUUUGCAUUGCAUUUUUUUCCAUUUGUUCUUUUGAGUUGUAUCUUAUAUUUGUGUUAAUUAUACAUGGUUUAUGCUCCCAUUGUCAGAUGUGACUAUCAAUGCACCAGAUGAACAGUCCAUCAUGACGUAUGUGUCACAGUUCCUAGAGCACUUCCCUGGCAGAGAGGAGCCGGAGGAGCCCGUCCCGCCGAUCGAACGGAGUGUCUCCAUGGGCCGACUCAACUUGCGCGAGAAGGACUCCAACCACAUAAGGAAUAGUAUCCAGCAAAGCCGAGUGAAGGAGAGGUCCCACAUGUUUCAAAGGGUCUGUACCCAAUCGCCACCCAGAAUCCUGAUUUCCUCAGUGUCAGAGGACCGGAGUGCCAUGUCCCCCCCCUUCCGGCCAGCUGCAGCUCGCUCGUGGUCCAGUGAAGAUAUCUUAGCGGAUUCCCCCCACAUGGAAGAAAUCUCAAGCAGUGUGGCCGAAAAGCCCCAAGAAUCUGCCAGUGACGUCUCGACCAACUCAACCUCGAAGUCCCCAGAAUUGUCUUACGCUCACUCACCCACAGGCUCAUCGCUGCCUGAGUCCGUCACCUCCGAGCCGAUGAUUGGCGACUCAGCAAUAAGCUCACCGGACUCGUGGGUGGAGAGCGAGUUGGGGGGGGAUGCAGGAGAGGCUUUGUGAGAGUGACAGUUCUUUGUGUGACAGUGGAACAGCCUGGGAUGUGUAUCGUGCCACUCCUGUGGAGGUCACUAAUCUGGAUGAAGGAUGCGUCCUAUCCAUGGAGGAAAGGGCACCCGAGGAGGAGUCCAUUCCAGAGUCGUACGUGGACGAAGGCAUUUGCUCACUGGGCUCAUUGGAGAGCCCCGUGCAGAAAAGUCAAGGGGAUUUUGAGAAGAAGCAGCCGGAAGUAGUGGAAGAGAAAGAGGAGGUGCACCUUGAGAAGUACAACCAGGACAUGCCUGUGGAAAAGGUACCCGAUCAUUGCAAGGCUGAGAUUGCAGAAGAAGAACCGAGUGAACAGACGAUACAGGAUACCAGUCAGAGCAGGGAGCCGGAGCCUUCUGUAGGACUCUGCAACGCAGUGGAACUGACCAGCUCAGCUGUGGAAAAGCUCCAUGAAAGUGAUCAUUCUAACCAGUCGCAACCCAAGAAAAACAACGUUGGAGACAGGCCUGUGGACCUCAUUGAGGGUGCAAGGGAUCACGAAGGACAAAUUGUAGGUCUGAAUGAGAGCGGUAACUCUGAGGAACUUCAAGGGGAAACUGAAUGUCAGGAAAGACAAGAAAAUACAAUGAUUGAUGAUGUUGGAGAAACACGAGAGGAAGCAAGUGAAGAAGUUCUAAGAGAAGACCUGAAUGCACAAGAGAACUUUAGUUCGGAGACAUUAGCAAACACGGAUCCAACCAGCCAAGACAGAGCUCCAGAAACAAGUCUGGACCCAACCGCUGGCAGAAAUGUUCCUCUGAUCUCGAUUUCAAGUGAGCCAGAAGAGCAGAACCUAGAGGGAAUAUGUGACCCAGAAAGACAACAUCCUGCUUGGCAAGAUGAGGUACAGCCAGAAGGAACUGACCCAGAUGUCGACUGCCCCCCAAAUCCACAUGAAAACAACCUUGACUUCAAUUACAAUGUGGACAUUCCAUUGUGUCCGGUAACAGAAAGUGAUCAACCAAAAGCUUCAGAACAAACAGGGGACAGGGAAAGCCAACAUUUGGAUGAACAUGGAACCAGUCAGAACAUCGGCGAGCCCGACACAGGAGAUAAAAUGACAUUGAGUGAAUGUGAAUUAACUUGUCAGACUUCUUCAGAAGCCACACCGGUGAAUGCCGAGCAGGAAAUGGAUUCCACCGAUCAGCCGGAUGGACACAAGGACACAGCCGCCACCGAGCAGAACACACCCGAUUCUGUGAACUCAAAACCAAACGGUACUUUUGAACCAGGUUGUCUGCACAGAGACACAGACUUGUUUUAUACAGACUUUGAUCAGAGUCCCGGCCCAGAGGAUGUCGCCGGUGCCCCUGUUGAACCCAUGGAUCUGUUCUACCCUGACAAAGAGGAGUCCAUGUUUCUAGAGCCACCAGAUGCUGAGACGCAGAGUUGGCCUUCGGUUUUGAGUGUAUCCGCCCUCAAGCCAGCUCCUGCUUCGGAGACUCAAGCCGAUCAGCCCUCCAGCCUGCUGGGUGAAGACUUCAGCCAUGGAGCGGAUUGGACCCAAGAGAACGACGAGCUGAUCCCGAAGACCAACCAGGACACUGACGCGGCAUCUAAACCCCAGGAACUGUGUGUGCUGCCCGGGGAGACGACAGGAGGACUCUGGGGGGACGACGCUCCAGCAGACGGCAGUGAUCUCAGGACCUCGGGCCGUGCCAGGGAAAACACAGAGCCUGUGAGUGAAGGUUCCAUCAGACAGGAUGAAAGCCAGAUCCCUCCAGUCCUCCGGCACAGGAAGGCCGCUCGCUCCACCGAGUCCACGGGCGAUCGGCCGGCUGUGACAGCAGCGAGCAGCGGAGACGACAAUGGCGACUCCGACUCCGGGUGCAGUGACAGCUGGGAGCUCUACGUGCUGCUGCUGCUCUGGCUGCUGCUCUACUGCUUCUGGCUGCUGCCCCAGAUGGACCUGAAGACACUUCCCAGCCUGCUGCUCAACCUGGAGCCCUGAACGCACACACACACACACACACACACACACACACACACACGUAAAGCACCACCACCAAAUCGCACACUACAGUCCUGAAGAGGAGGAGUUGUUUUAGCUUUGUGCUGUGCAGCUUUCCAUGUGGCUCGGAGGCGUCUGUAUCUCCACGUUCUGGGGAAUAUUAUGAGAAAAGCGUUGUCGUUUUACAGGAUGAAAAGUCAUAACUUAUCAACAAUAACGUUUGAACUAUUCGUUAAGUCAGAUUAAAAGAAAUACUUGUAUUAUUAGAAACUUGGCUUUUAUUUUAGGAGUCUAUGGUUUUGAGAAAAGUCAGUGCUGUUAAAGUAAAUGUAAAAUAUUUUUGUGUUAUUAGAUUUUGUUUUAUGAUCAUUAUUAUUCAAAUAUAAAGAAACGAUAUCAUCGUAGUUAUAGAUCGUAGCCAAAGACCUGUAAUAAACAACCAGAAGCGAGACGUUUUCCUUCUUAAAGGUGUGACUUUAUUUAACAUUAGAACUUCUUCUCAUGACGUUGUUGUUUUGGUCCAAAUGUUGCAGUUAAAAUGGGAAAACCUGAUUUGUAAUUUACGACGGUUCAAAGGCGACACGACUGACAUUGUGAGACAACACGUACAGCACUCUGAUUGGUACAUGGAGAUAUAUACUAUGGACUCAUGGACUGAAUAGCCAUUUAAAGUGAAAGUGCUUUAAGCUGAGGGAGAUUAGAACAUUCAAACAUGCAAACCUGUAGGUGAUCUGAAGGUAACUAAUGAAGGGGGAUUUUGAUCCGUUGCACAUCGUGAAAAAGAAUCAGAACUGCCAAAGAAAUGCUUGAGAGAUGAGUAUAAGACAUAUGCAUUAACGACAUGUAUACGCUCAAUACGGUAUCCAUGCCAACGAAAAGUACACAACAACCUGUUUUUAACAAAGUCAAUCUGGUACUAAAGCUCCGCCCCAGUGGCUCUAUAUUGUAUCAUAGUCGAGCAGAACAUGUAUUUGUAAUAUUUUGUGUCUUAUAAUGGAUUUUUAACGUUUUAUUGUAAAGAAAUGUUUUAUGUGAUUGAGACUUGCUUGUGAAAAGAGAAUGCUUUACGAUGAAAUAUCUUUAUAUACAUAUAUGCUAUUUUUGAACAUUGUCUGACAGAGCGCGCCUCCUUCACCCCGUCCUUCCUCCACCUACAGCUCCUCCACCCGCACUCGGCCGGGUCAUCGUCAGCCCGUCUCCCGUGUGAGUGCUGGACGUCCGGUUGCACUUUAACCCUCGUUAGAGCCAAACUGUCCCUUCUAUUGAUCAGCAUAAAGCACACAUGCAACUGUCUGUGGAACACGUGAAGCGCCUGCCAAUGUUACCGUGCUGCUGGGAAGGAACUGAGAAGGAACGCUCAUGAAAUGAUGCAUUAGCUUCGCUAUUAUGUAUGAAUGUUUUGCCUUUUUGUCAGAUGUGUUUAUAAAAAAAAUAGUUCCUCACUAAAAAAAGUUCCAUUUUUUUUUAAUAUUCUUUUACCAAAUGAGUUUGUAGUAAUACCUUCUGCACUAUACUGUCUCUGAAUAGACCUUUGAGUCACCCUGACGGGAAGGGGACACAGCUCCGUUUACAAAAGAGGUCCAAGGGCUCGAGGAGCUUCACGUCCACCCGUGGAGGUCAGGCUGAAGGUCCUACUCAGGCCCCUCAGGUUCCAGCCUCUUUCACCACAAAUGAAUCACACCUCCACACGCUGCUGCCCGCCACAUGUGUCCGGUGCCUUCAACAAAAACAUGUCCAACCACCGGGACAGUCCCUUGAGUCUGAGACAAAAGGGCAGUUUGAGGUCUUUACAAGGGGACUGUGUGUGUCUUUGUGUCUCCUCCACCCAGAGGACUAACCUAGACGCACAUAUUGGCUUAGUCAUUGCAAAUGUUUCAUCAGCACCAGUGGACUGCGAUUAAAGACGUGUCUCAAAGCCGUUGUCUCUAGUUGUGAAUGCUUUGGAUUCAGGGGAACUGACUGAUUCAUCUGGGGAGUAUUUGUAUGAGUCUUGAGGUUAAGGAAAUGUCAGUUUGCACUGUUAGCUGCAAGCCGCCGUAUCAAUGUUUUUACGGGAAGCAGGAGGCUCGUGGAGACAAACCUCAGAUAAUUAGCAUUCUAAGCUCCAUCAAGCUUUUUGUUCUCUUUCAUCAACCCAGAAGAAAAGGCCCCACUUUGCUUCAGUCUCACAGCCUGAUGAGCCCGGGGCGAACACCUAAACCCUGUGGGAACUCUCAGAGUUGCUUUUAGCAUCAAGGCGUAUUGGACGAGUCCUAGAUGAGCCGUGAUGGAGGAAACCUCCCAGAGGAACUCUGAGUAAGUGAGGGACAGCCUUCAGAAUGUGAGCAUCUCUGGCUUCUCUAGUGAGAUCGGCCACAAGCGUUCUCUCUGCACCCGGUCUCGUCUUAACUUGUACGAGUUCUACAAUUCAGAGGAUUUUAAAUAGUUUUAGCUGAGUGCGGCGUACUGCUUCAAUAUUAGCAGAUGUCAGUCAGCGAUCUGCAGUCAGUUCAUGUAUGAAACGGCUGAAAUGAGCAGUUAAAACUACCAAUAUUUAGUGUAGUUAUUAUGAGGUGACCAUUUAUUUUGAAUGGUCGCUUUACAUGAACCUCGAACCACAAUUUCAGUUUUUGUUCUGUUCAUUUUUUGUUUCUUUACUAAACAUAGAUGUUUAAGGCCUGAUCAUUUAUUGUUUGGUACCGCUCCACUGCUGUGCUGUGUGUGUGUGUGUGUGUGUGUGUGUGUGUGUGUGUGUGUGUUGCCAUCUAGAGGACAUCAUGUAACACUGAACAGCCUCAGCGCGGCUGAACACAUUCAGGAGGUUUUUGUAAAUAUGGCAGUGAAGCGUCUGCUGCCCUUUGAUCGGACAUGGUAAAAACAUGGAUGAAUCUGCCAAUAUAUAUGUAACAUCUGCGAACAGUAAAAUAUGAAAAUUAACAAAUGCUUAUCAUGCACAUUUUUGGCAAUCGUUUGUUCUCUAUUAACAUAAGGGAUCCCCAACGUUCUUUUUCACUAGAAAUUUGAAAUGUGUUCAUGCGAAAAGAGAGUAUAUGUCCUUUGCAAGUGCCAUGAAGUGUUGAUUUAAACAAAUGUUAUUCUGUAAAUAUAUAUAUUAUACUUACAGAAUAACAUGUAUUUAUAUAUAUAUAUAUAUGUAUAUAUAGUAUCUAUAUAUAGUAGUAGCAUAUACAGUAAUCCCUCGUUUAUCGCGGGGGUUACGUUCCGAAAAUGACCCGCGAUAAGUGAAAUCCGCGAAAUAGAAAACUUUUUUUUUUUUUACAAUUAGCAACUAUUACAUGUAUACAAAUACAGUGACUCGCGUGUAGGCCGUUUCACUGCUCUUCAGACUGGGCCGCUGCAUCCUGACUGCGCUCUGCAGUGUUCUCUUCCUCUGAAGCCCGCGGUGCAGGUGUGUUUGUUCGGGAGAAGAACAUAGUGAUAGGCAGCUGUUGUCGCUCUUUUUUCUUCUUUGCAAAAAGAUCCUUGUACACCGACAUGCCACCAUCGAUUACGUUGGAGAACUGUAAUGAACGGCUCGGGAGUGAGUUUUUAGCGAAUCAGAAUGCAGAGCACAAUGCACCAAAAAAAAAAAAAAAUGCAAUAUGAAAAUCCGCGAAAUAGCGAAUCCGCGAUAAGUGAACCGCGAAGUGGCGAGGGAUCACUGUAUAUACAUAUAUGUAUAAAUACAGAUGAGCUGUUGUGCCUUGCUGCUUUAAUAUAAUAAGAUAAUGUGAGGUCAGUAACCGGGUUCUCCUGUCCAGUGAGAGGAACCUCCAGACUGUGAGCAGAUAUUCUCCUUCGCUUUAGUAAAACAGCGUGCGGUGUCACCGCUGGUUGUCACGCAGAUUACGUAGAUCUUUUGGCGUAGCAGAGGCCCGGGUGAAAAGAAGGGGUCCCACCGCGGAACGAGUAGCUAGAGCGAGAGCGACAGCAGCAGAUAUCCUAGGAACGAUUACAAGUAGUUUUUAGGCCUGACUGUAAAUUGAAAAGCAAACAUCAGGUGAGAUUCCCUACCAGGUCACAUACUUUGUGAAAUAACGUUACUCUGUUGCACGCGCUGGCCCUGCUAGGUGUUAGCUUGCUAGCUAAAGCUGGCUGACAUGGUGAUGGUGCAUGGGGGCUGUAGUCACCGCCCAGACGUUGUGUAGCUAAAUGCUGUAUGUAUUUAAAGGGGAAGCCGUGUUUCAGUUUGGCGGUUAGUCGCGCAGUCGGGAACAUGCGACCGCGCUCAGACAAACAUGUCUUUGACUAGCAGAAUAGAUCGAUAACUGGGUUCAGACAGGCGCAAUCCGUCAGCUGUACUACGCGCUAGCCAUGCUAGGUUAUGCUAACGCUACGUUGCUGAGGAGGUUUUCCAUUGCAGUCAGCGCGAUGUCAAUAUUUGGUCACUAACGCUGUGUUAGAGGCUAAUAGACUGCGAGGCAUUAUGUGGUUACUUCAGCCUGUCCGUACGAUAGAGUCCCUGCCAGCCUAAAGCAAAGUAACGCACUCAGUCAUUUGUCAUAUGGACAUGUUAACGUUAUUAGCUAGUGUAAGCUAGCAUCCCCCUGUUCAUACUAGCGUUAUAGCACCGACAAUGAGGCCAAUGCUCCCUACAGGGUUCGUUGUUCUGUAGUAUUAAAGUCCCGUCAAGCAAGUAUCCGCUCAUAUUUAAUUUAAUAUCUUUAACGUUAUGGUAAUGUUUAUUAAAAGUUCGCUCAAUGCUAAUAACUUGAAAUGCCUAGUUACUAGCAAGCUAAUGUGGCCAGUGUUACUCAGCAUGGUGUCUGCUAGUAACUGCAAAGUUAACUAAACGUUUGUGUUCACAAUUUGAGUUGGCAUGUUGGUCGGUGUUCACACAUUGAGCCUCCCACUCUUAAUGAAACUGCCAAUGAUAUGACGCAGGGUGUGUGCCUGCUAGAGCUGCCUUCCCCCGCCUGGCUUCCUUGUACUAAACUGAGGGGCCACGGCAGAUGUGAUGGCAGGUGUCAUGGCAGAUGUGAUGGCAGGUGUCAU
Molecule: long non-coding RNA, 7827 nt
Organism: Gasterosteus aculeatus (three-spined stickleback)
Lineage: Eukaryota; Metazoa; Chordata; Actinopteri; Perciformes; Gasterosteidae
Source: Ensembl